This is a long non-coding RNA of Oncorhynchus tshawytscha (Chinook salmon), 1857 nucleotides long. The record is from Ensembl. Lineage: Eukaryota; Metazoa; Chordata; Actinopteri; Salmoniformes; Salmonidae.
GUCCUCUCUCUCCUCUCGCCUCCUCUCCUGUCCUCAUUUCACGCCUCCUGUCCUCUCUCUCCUCUCGCCUCCUCUCCUGUCCUCAUUUCACGCCUUCUGUCCUCUCUCUCCUCUCCUGUCCUCUCUCUUCUCUCGCCUCCUCUCCUGUCCUCAUUUCAUGCCUUCUGUCCUCUCUCUCCUCUCCUCUCCUCUCUCUCUCUCUCGCCUCCUCUCCUGUCCUCAUUUCACGCCUUCUGUCCUCUCUCUCCUCUCCUGUCCUCUCUCUUCUCUCGCCUCCUCUCCUGUCCUCAUUUCAUGCCUCCUGUCCUCUCUCUCCUCUCGCCUCCUCUCCUGUCCUCAUUUCAUGCCUCCUGUCCUCUCUCUCCUCUCCCCUCCUCUCGGUGCUGGUCGCCAGUAGCCCAGUAAGGGCAGGUAAUCCCGACACUAAACCGCAACACGGCUCUCUACUGUAGGUCACUGUCAUCUCAUUACAAGCUGCUUUCUACCGCAGUGUGCUGGUGAAUGAGAUGACAGCUCUGUAGCAGCAGAGGCAUCAGAAACACCACUGUGUCAGGACUGGCUCAAGGCCAUCAACCAAUGGGAUUCUCAGCAUAGCCGCGGUCCUGUGGUGAGGAAACCUGCUUUCUGACUGCUAGAGGGUAAUGUGUCACCUGUUAUGAUAUUAACCCUGGGAGAGGUCUCAAGUCAAGGGUAAUGAUAUUUACUCUAUAAAGCCAGACCAGCUAUAGUACAUAUGAUAAUGUGGUUGUUUUUAUGAGAGAAUGUAUUCUACGUACAACUGUAUACUACCCAUAUCAGAUGUUAACCUUCUGACAAUGACAAACUGAUCAGACUGGGGAAUGACUAUUGCAUCUGCUGUCACUGAGAUGGCUCGUUGAUUUCAUGGUUAGUCUGUCUGAGGUACGAGUUAGGUUGUCUGUGAGACUGGCAGCAUGACUUGAUAGGCUUACUGCAUAUUUGCUUAUUGUUAGCUACCCUCAUCAGUGUCUUUGUAAGCUGGCUUUUUGAACUCUUUCCUUUCAUGGUUCAUUUUAAUUUGGGUUGUUCUCUCUCCCCGUGUGUUUUAACUCUAGAACGCCCUUUUGACAUUGUGUGUGUUUGUGUGGUUGUUUUGACCCCAAGAUCAAUUCCUUUUGUUUAACAUGAUAUUCCCAUAGCAUAGAAAAUGUUACCCAUAUCUACCAACACUAGGUAUUCUUCGUGCAUAGAUAUGGGAACCAUGUUGACAUGUUAGUUUAUAAUCUGUCCUAAUUGAUGUACAAUCCCCUUGAUAGCCCAGAAUUAGUUUUAUCUGGAAUGUUAAAAUGAUUUCUAAGCAUUAGCUGUUAAGAGCUAAUUUCCCCUUUUUGUAUAUGGUUCCAUACAGUACAGUACAGUAGAGCGUUGCAUACUAUAAACUGAGUUAACAUUUUGUCACUGUCAAGAAACCAGUACUCUUAUAGGAAGGAAGCUACAAGCGGAGAGAAUGGAAAACAAGGGGUCCAGACGCGUAGUAGCCGAGACCACAAAGCACCCCUCUCCACUCCUCCUCUUCUCCUCUCUGUGAUACAGACGGGAGAGACACGGCCGCUGCUGACGCAUCAUCAAAAGGAGACGUUCCUUUGGGAAGCCUGAAGUGUCACAUUACAGUUCUGACAGCACAUCGCCUCCCCCGGGACGCACCAGCGCUACAGGGACCGACGGCACAAGCACAGAUACGACUGUGUGACGAUGACGAUGACGUGACUGGCUGAGUGAAUCUGGUCCUCAAGUAUUAAUCCGUAUUUAUUGAUGUUCUUAUGAAUUCCAGUCCUGUCACAUUGUAAGAUAUUCUUUACGGGACAAAUGAUCAUUAAAAAACGUUGAUUGGACCCGUUA